This 51-nucleotide transfer RNA is filed under the name Gavia pacifica (Pacific loon). RNAcentral describes it as "partial tRNA-Phe". The record is from RNAcentral. Lineage: Eukaryota; Metazoa; Chordata; Aves; Gaviiformes; Gaviidae.
AGCAUGGCACUGAAGUUGCCAAGACGGUUGCCCUCAUCAUACCCAGGGACA